CACCAGGCCAGAUUUGUCUUGCGAUGUAAAACUGUUCCUUGUAAAGACCUGUAUGGGAUGGGGGUGGUGGUUGCCCAUGGAAACUCCGGUCUCUCCUGACACGUCUUCGCUUCUCUUCUGUCACUGCAAUUCCCCGGCUGAAGGCAAGACAAGAGCAUGUGAAUGAGAAGUGGCGCUCCUAAAGACCCUGGGCAUUUUGCUGUCUGCAAAACUACACGUUUUGUUUUGCAGUGCGACUAUGCAAAUAAUCUCAUGCUUUAAUCGGAACAGCAUUUCUGCGCAGCUCUGCAAGUUCUGUUGCUAUAAAGAUGGAGUUGAUGAUGUGGAUGUAUUCAAAACACGUUCAAGACAGGCAGAGUUUUAUCCCGGUUUAUCCUGGAUCUAUCCACAUCAGUUAUUCACACAGGCAACAAUGCAAAUCUUUCAGGAAAACAUGGGGGAAACCGAUCAAAAUAAGCUUUUGUGAGUUUUUUGGCAGCCCCCCCCCCCAACUUAAACAGAUGCAUUUGAAAUUCAUGUGAACAACGCGGAUUCGACCCAUAUUCUACCAGGAUUAUUUACGCCACCAGAAUAACCUGAGAGGCUUUGUGUUUCUCUAAUGCAACAUGCGUCCAGGAUAUGCUGUUGCCGCUGGAUGUUGUUUUAUUAAUGUUGAGUGAUCUGUGUUUAUUAAAUAAAUAUUUCCACCAGUGUAUUUCAUCUUGUCAAAAGGUUUUAAUGAUAAAUAUUCAGCAAGUCAAUGUGAAUUCAAGGGAACAAUUACAGAAUGAGCUUGUGUACAGACAUUUAACUUUACACACUGAAACUCCCUCCCUGCUUCCUUAAUGCUGUCCUGAGCCAGAAAAUUGGUUCCCUGUUUAAAAGACUGCUACUCCACUACAGUUUGUUGUUUUUACUAGAUUUACUAGAUUGCUUGGGGGUACUCUAAACCACUGGGAUUUGUAUCACUCUCAACCUCUAUGGGUGAGUGCUGAAAGAAAUAAGUGCUUUUGCAGUUUGAAUGGGAGUAGAUAGGAGGAAAGUCAGAGUUUAAAUCUUGCCGGGCAAAAUCCUUGAUAUAAUUCUUACUAACAAAAGCAAAGUGGUAUCCUCUAGAUAGGUCCAGUGUAGUGUUUUAAGCGGUGGACUUUGACUCUGGAGCCAGUGUUCGAAUCCCACUCAGCCAUGGAAGCCCACUGGGUCAUCUGGGGCAAGUCACACUCUCUCAGCCUCAGAGGAAGACAAUGGCAAACUCCCUCUGAACAAAUCUUGCCAAGGAAACCCUGUGAUAGGCUUGUCUUGGGGGUCACCAUAAGUCAGAAAUGACCUGAAGGCACACAACAACAACAGCCCUGAUUUCCCUUUGAUGAACCGAUACAGUGACAAAUAAAUUGUUCCUUCCAAUUGGCAGUUACAGGUAGUUUUUCUCCUUCUUUGCAGAAUGAAGACAAAACUUUGAAAUGUUGUAUGAUGAAAUACAAUGAAAGGCAAACAAAGGAGAUGUUUGUUUUAUGUACUGUCUAUUAAAGAAACCUAAAAGCUUAA
Molecule: long non-coding RNA, 1524 nt
Organism: Sceloporus undulatus (fence lizard)
Lineage: Eukaryota; Metazoa; Chordata; Lepidosauria; Squamata; Phrynosomatidae
Exons: 2
Source: RefSeq, a predicted model, not a curated record